RNAcentral lists this ribosomal RNA (253 nucleotides) under uncultured archaeon. RNAcentral describes it as "partial 16S ribosomal RNA". It matches the Rfam family "Archaeal small subunit ribosomal RNA", at positions 474 to 727 of the family's 1478-position model. The record is from RNAcentral.
CACCCGCAGCUCGAGUGUUGGUCACUUUUAUUGAGCCUAAAGCGUUCGUAGCCGGUUUUGUAAAUCCUCAGACAAAUUCUCCUGCUUAACGGGAGAUACUCUGGAGAGACUGCGAAACUAGGGACCGGGUGAGGUUGAAGGUACUUCUGGGGUAGGGGUAAAAUCCUGUAAUCCUGGAAGGACGACCGGUGGCGAAGGCGUUCAACUAGAACGGAUCCGACGGUGAGGAACGAGGGCUAGGGUAGCAAACCGG